Molecule: ribosomal RNA, 1240 nt
Filed under: Psococerastis albimaculata
Lineage: Eukaryota; Metazoa; Arthropoda; Insecta; Psocodea; Psocidae
Description: 16S ribosomal RNA
Source: RNAcentral
AAUUUAAUUCAAAUAUAAAUAAAUUUUAUAUUUAGAUUGUCCUUUCGUACUUAUCUAAACAAAAAAAAUUAAAGAUAGAAACUGACCUGGCUCACGCCGGUCUGAACUCAAAUCAUGUAAGAAUUUAAUAGUCGAACAGACUAAUUAUAUUAAUUUCUACUCCAAUAUAUUAUCUUAAUUCAACAUCGAGGUCGCAAACUUUAUUAUAGAUAUGAACUCUUAAAUAAAAUUACGCUGUUAUCCCUAAGGUAAUUUAAUCUUUUCUUUAAAAUUUUUAGAUCAGAAAAUUCAAUAAUUUAUGGUAAUAAAAAAUUUAAGUUUUUUAUUUUAUAAAAUCGCCCCAAUUAAAUUAUUUAAUUAAAUAAAAAUUUAAAACUUAAUUUAAAUAAUAAAAAUCUAUAGGGUCUUCUCGUCUUUUAAAAUAAAUUAAGCAUUUUCACUUAAAAUUAAAAUUAAAUUUAGUAGAAUAAAGAAAAUUUAAUUCUCGUCUAAUCUUUCAUACAAGUUCUCAAUUAAAAAACUAUUGAUUAUGCUACCUUUGCACAGUCAGUAUACUGCGGCUCUUUAAAUCUUCAGUGAGCAGAUUGGACUUUAUAUUUUACCAAAAAGACAUGUUUUUGAUAAACAGGCGAAAUUACUUUUGUCGAGUUCCUAUACUCAAAUUUAUAAAUUUACUAAUUUCAAAAUAAUAAUUAAUGUUAAUUUCAUUAAACAUUAUUUUUAAAUAUACUACUUAAUGAAAAUUAUAAAUCCAUUUUAUAAGCUAAUUUUUUUAUAAAAAUCUAUUUAUCUUAAACAAUAAUAAUUCUAGAAAUAUAGCAAACAAAAUUUCAUUUAAAAAUUAUAAGAAAUAAACUCCUUAUAAUUUUUAAUAAAAAUAUUUUUAUAAAACCAUUUUAAACUUAUUUUUAUAAUUAAUUGAAUUAAUUUAUUUAAUAACUAGAAUUAUGGUUAAACGACUAACUUUUCAUUUCUAAUUAUAUAUUAAAUAUUAAUUUUUCUACAUUAAUAAUUAUAUAUAAUUAAAUCAAAACCAUUCGAGAUAAUCUUAUAUAAAUUUUUAUAUUUAAACCCUGAUACAAAAGGUACAAAAAUUAAUUUUUUUUCCUAUAAAUUAAACAAAUUCAAUUUAUUUAAUAUUAAACUAUAAUUAACCAAAAUUAUUUAAUUCUAUUUAUUAUAAUAAAUAAUAUUUUAUAUAAUUAAUUAAAAAAAAAUAUAUAAUAUAAUAAAUUCAAUA